UACAGAGACCCCAAGCGUUAUCCGGUUUCAUUGGGCGUAAAGCGUUCCGACAGGUGGAUUUGUGUGUCUUUGGUGAAAGACCGAGGCCUAACCUCGUGUUUGCCACAGAAACUGCAAAUCUUGAAGUGCAAAGAGGUAGCUGGAACUCUACAAGUAGGGGUGAAAUCCGUUGAUAUGUAGGGGAACACCAAAAGCGAAGGCAAGCUACUGGGUGCAUCUUGACACUGCUAGGACGAAAGCGUGGGGAGCGAUACGG
This 256-nucleotide ribosomal RNA is filed under the name uncultured bacterium. Its description in RNAcentral is "partial 16S ribosomal RNA". It matches the Rfam family "Bacterial small subunit ribosomal RNA", at positions 524 to 776 of the family's 1533-position model. The record is from RNAcentral.